AGUAGGGUAAGCUAAAACAAGCUGUUGGGCUCAUAACCCAAAAAUAGACACACUCUCCCUUCUA
This 64-nucleotide transfer RNA is filed under the name Potomida littoralis. Its description in RNAcentral is "tRNA-Met". RNAcentral also lists the same sequence under 1 other name. Lineage: Eukaryota; Metazoa; Mollusca; Bivalvia; Unionida; Unionidae. The record is from RNAcentral.